Molecule: long non-coding RNA, 466 nt
Organism: Hemicordylus capensis (graceful crag lizard)
Lineage: Eukaryota; Metazoa; Chordata; Lepidosauria; Squamata; Cordylidae
Exons: 3
Source: RefSeq, a predicted model, not a curated record
AGUGAGCAAGCAAGAAGGCAGGGCCCGGCAGUGGGACUGUGGCAGUGUGACAAAACUCAGACCAUCUUCUUGUAGCGAGAGCAUCACUUCACAAACAUUUAACAGACCUGCCCUUCACCAAUUCCCAAAUCUUAUCUGACACAGAAGAUAAGGACAGUCACCUGGACCCAGCUCAUCCCCUCCAAUAUGGCUUUAAAGUUAGAGGGCCAAGGCCUGGCUAGUGUACACCUUUUUCCAUCUGCAGAUGGGGGUUCCAGGGAAGGAGCAGUAGAAAUUAAGGCUCUCUCAACCAAGGACCUACCUACUGAUAGACUAAGCCGAGCAUACAAUAAAAGCGUACUUCCGACUCCGAGCUGUCCGCGCUGCACCCUGUGUUGGUUUUGAUUUCCCAGGGUGCUUUGCGAGGGUUGCUUCUCUUCCGGUUUUGUCCCAAGCGGUGGCGGAGGCGAAGGUUUGAGCCAUGGCC